GACGAACGCUGGCGGCGUGCCUAAUACAUGCAAGUCGAGCGGACGAAUCGAAAGCUUGCUUUUGAUUCGUUAGCGGCGGACGGGUGAGUAACACGUGGGCAACCUGCCCUGUAGACGGGGAUAACACCGAGAAAUCGGUGCUAAUACCGGAUAACACGAAAUGUCGCAUGACGUUUCGUUGAAAGACGGCGCAAGCUGUCGCUACAGGACGGGCCCGCGGCGCAUUAGCUAGUUGGGGAGGUAACGGCUCACCAAGGCGACGAUGCGUAGCCGACCUGGGAGGGUGAUCGGCCACACUGGGACUGAGACACGGCCCAGACUCCUCCGGGAGGCAGCAGUAGGGAAUCUUCCGCAAUGGACGAAAGUCUGACGGAGCAACGCCGCGUGAGCGAAGAAGGCCUUCGGGUCGUAAAGCUCUGUUGUUAGGGAAGAACAAGUAACGCAGUAACUGGCGUUACCGUGACGGUACCUAACGAGAAAGCCACGGCUAACUACGUGCCAGCCGCCGCGGUAA
This 514-nucleotide ribosomal RNA is filed under the name uncultured bacterium. RNAcentral's name for it is "partial 16S ribosomal RNA". It matches the Rfam family "Bacterial small subunit ribosomal RNA", at positions 28 to 523 of the family's 1533-position model. The record is from RNAcentral.